UGUAUAAGGAGUUGUAUAUAUUAAGGAUAUAAUU
This 34-nucleotide small RNA is filed under the name Arabidopsis thaliana (thale cress). RNAcentral's name for it is "ATSL060410". The record is from RNAcentral. Lineage: Eukaryota; Viridiplantae; Streptophyta; Magnoliopsida; Brassicales; Brassicaceae.